RNAcentral lists this long non-coding RNA (426 nucleotides) under Citrus maxima (pomelo). RNAcentral's name for it is "long non-coding RNA (CMAX_LNC004120)". The record is from RNAcentral. Lineage: Eukaryota; Viridiplantae; Streptophyta; Magnoliopsida; Sapindales; Rutaceae.
GAUUUUAUAACAAAUUUCAUAAUACUAAUAUCUGAAUGAAUCUUUAGAUUUGUUACAACUCACAACAUUCCAUCACAACAUUUAUCAAUGAAAUCAAUAACAAUGUUAUUGGUUCUUUGAGAAGUCAAUGAACUCUGGCUCAAAGAGAAAGGAGUCAACUGGUAAAAUGAAUUACUUUUGGUACAUGGUUGCUAUGUCAUCUAUAUUCGUGAAAUUGACAUCAUGACAUGGCCGUAUUGGCUCAACAGCCUCCUGAAGAUGCUAAGUAAGAAAAAACGUAAGAGAAUUUUAUUGGUAAAAAUGACAUUUAUUUUCUUUCUUCAUUUGGAAUUCAUCAAUAGCAUAGAUAGACUCACCUUCUGUCCAAUUACUCCAAUUUGGCGUACCUCACAGCGUAAGGUGAAGUUGGCAGUGUCACUAUAUCUC